This 417-nucleotide ribosomal RNA is filed under the name Triticum aestivum (bread wheat). Its description in RNAcentral is "partial small subunit ribosomal RNA". Lineage: Eukaryota; Viridiplantae; Streptophyta; Magnoliopsida; Poales; Poaceae. The record is from RNAcentral.
AUGAAAAAAGCCUUGCCAUGUUCGAAGGUGGAAACCAGUCCUCUCAGUCCUCGGCCAACGUUGUUUCCCGUGGCCGUGGUGGAUUCGGUCGCGGUGGAGGCGGCCGUGGCAACGGUGGUCGUGGCAAUGGAGGUGGAGGUCACGGCAAUGGAGGCCAUAGCAAUGGAGGCGGUGGCCGCGGCAAUGGAGGUCGUGGCAACAUCAAUGGAGGAGGCAACGAUCUCCCCGAGGUUGUCUGUCAAAUCUGCAAGAAGCCAAACCACACCGUCAUCGAGUGCUACCGCCGCUUCGACAUCUCCUUCGCCAAGAACGAAAAGUGUGCAGGAUCGGCCACCACCUCGUCCUAUGGAGUGCACACUAAAUGGUACCUUGACAUGGGGGCCACAGAUCACAACACCAGCGAGCUCGACAAGCUGA